RNAcentral lists this long non-coding RNA (279 nucleotides) under Phoenix dactylifera (date palm). RNAcentral describes it as "long non-coding RNA (PDAC_LNC021795)". The record is from RNAcentral. Lineage: Eukaryota; Viridiplantae; Streptophyta; Magnoliopsida; Arecales; Arecaceae.
UGCCCGACGCUAUAAAGCGUCGUUAAAGGCGUGCCAGAUUCUGUAGCACUUGCUAUUGUCGAUGCUUAAAAGCGUCGGCAAUAUGAAUUUUUUAAAAAAAAAUUCGUAAAAGCAAUUUUUAAUACUCUGUAUACAUUAAAUUCCAACAAAACAAAUACACUAAAUCACAUAGAUAACAAAAUGCACGUCAUAAACAAGAACUUUUCAGUCAAAAUAUUCAUAUUAUCAUAUUUGAUUACAGUGUACUUCAAAAAUACACUAAAAACAUACGUCUCAAAU